UUAAAUACAAAAUAAGGUUUGAUGUGUUCAUUUUACAGAUUUGUGUGCAUAUACUACGUUUUUAUUAAUUAUGGGUUGAAUGACUGAAAAACUGAUACUGUAUGUUGUCUGUUUGGCAUGAAUUACGAUUUGCUUGUUUAAAUGUGAAUUGAUGAUGCUGACUGAGGAAAAGAAAAAUAAAAGAUUGUGUAGACUGAUAAUUGUAUUAUGGGGUCAGCCUGACUAGAUAUCCUGAGAGAUGGUGGACGGACUGGGUCCGUAGGGAACCCUACUGGGAUUGUGGUCUCACAUGCCGGACGGGGUAUGGAGAUCUUAUGGUUUUGGCGCCCAUACCGGACGGGGUAUGGGGACGGCCCGUUUCACCCUCGUAUCGGACGGGGUAUUGAGGUUUAUGGUUUUGGCGCCCAUACCGGACGGGGUAUGGGGACGGCCCUGGAAACUGAUUAUGAACGUUAAAGGUUAACGGGUAGCGGGACCCCUAUGGACCCCCACGGAUACUAGUAGGCUGGUAAAUGAGAAAAAUAUAUGUUGUAUAAUGAUUGAAUUACAAGAGGCGUGAUAAGUGUUAUGUUUUACAGCUUAUAUUAUUCCAUGAUUAUGAUAAUGUUAUUGUUUUUCUUAUAUUGUUUCAUAAAUUCCACCGAGGUAAGUGGAUGGUAAAGGUUUUAUCAUAAAUAAAAGGAUUUGUUGUAAAACAUGCUCCAUGGGUCCUUUGCGUUUUCUACCCACCUUUACCUCCGUGACGGUGAGAUAUCGUGAUGUUCUUACUGGGCUAGUGUAGCUCACUCCUUAUUUAACCAUUUCAGAUCAGGAAGACAUGAUUCCCGAGCCCGUUCCACAGGAGGACGACGAAAGGGAUGCCUAN
This 865-nucleotide long non-coding RNA is filed under the name Carica papaya (papaya). Its description in RNAcentral is "long non-coding RNA (CPAP_LNC004891)". Lineage: Eukaryota; Viridiplantae; Streptophyta; Magnoliopsida; Brassicales; Caricaceae. The record is from RNAcentral.